RNAcentral lists this ribosomal RNA (1501 nucleotides) under metagenome. RNAcentral's name for it is "bacterial LSU rRNA". It matches the Rfam family "Bacterial large subunit ribosomal RNA", at positions 1346 to 2851 of the family's 2925-position model. The record is from RNAcentral.
UAAGGUUUCCUGGGGAAGGCUCGUCCUCCCAGGGUUAGUCAGGACCUAAGCUGAGGCCGAUAGGCGUAGGCGAUGGACAACAGGUUGAUAUUCCUGUACCAGUUGCUUUUGUUUGAGCGAUGGAGGGACGCAGGAGGCUAAGGAAUGCACACGAUCGGAAAUGUGUGUCCAAGCAGCAAGUCUGAGAACGAGUGAAAUGCUUUUUCUCUCAAGGACAAGCUGUGAUGGGGAGCGAAAUUUAGUAGCGAAGUUCCUGAUGUCACACUGCCAAGAAAAGCUUCUAGUGAGAAAGUAACUGCCCGUACCGCAAACCGACACAGGUAGUUGAGGAGAGAAUCCUAAGGUGUGCGAGAGAACUCUCGUUAAGGAACUCGGCAAAAUGACCCCGUAACUUCGGGAGAAGGGGUGCUGACCGCAAGGUCAGCCGCAGUGAAUAGGCCCAAGCGACUGUUUAUCAAAAACACAGGUCUCUGCAAAAUCGAAAGAUGACGUAUAGGGGCUGACGCCUGCCCGGUGCUGGAAGGUUAAGAGGAGAGGUUAGCGCAAGCGAAGCUUUGAAUUGAAGCCCCAGUAAACGGCGGCCGUAACAAUAACGGUCCUAAGGUAGCGAAAUUCCUUGUCGGGUAAGUUCCGACCCGCACGAAAGGCGUAACGAUUUGGGCACUGUCUCAACGAGAGACUCGGUGAAAUUAUAGUACCAGUGAAGAUGCUGGUUACCCGCGACAGGACGGAAAGACCCCAUGGAGCUUUACUGCAGUUUGAUAUUGCGUGUUUGUAUCACAUGUACAGGAUAGGUAGGAGCCGAAGAUACCGGGACGCCAGUCUCGGAGGAGGCAACGGUGGGAUACUACCCUUGUGAUAUGACCACUCUAACCCGCUGCUCUUAGCGAGCAGGGAGACAGUGUCAGACGGGCAGUUUGACUGGGGCGGUCGCCUCCAAAAAUGUAACGGAGGCGCCCAAAGGUUCCCUCAGAAUGGUUGGAAAUCAUUCGUAGAGUGUAAAGGCAGAAGGGAGCUUGACUGCGAGACCUACAAGUCGAGCAGGGACGAAAGUCGGGCUUAGUGAUCCGGUGGUUCCGCAUGGAAGGGCCAUCGCUCAACGGAUAAAAGCUACCCUGGGGGUAACAGGCUUAUCUCCCCCAAGAGUUCACAUCGACGGGGAGGUUUGGCACCUCGAUGUCGGCUCAUCGCAUCCUGGGGCUGUAGUCGGUCCCAAGGGUUGGGCUGUUCGCCCAUUAAAGCGGUACGCGAGCUGGGCUCAGAACGUCGUGAGACAGUUCGGUCCCUAUCCGUCGCGGGCGUUGGAAAUUUGAGAGGAGCUGUCCUUAGUACGAGAGGACCGGGAUGGACACACCGCUGGUGUACCAGUUGUUCUGCCAAGAGCAUCGCUGGGUAGCUAUGUGUGGACGGGAUAAACGCUGAAAGCAUCUAAGCGUGAAGCCCCCCUCAAGAUGAGAUUUCCCAUCACUUUAAGUGAGUAAGACCCUUGAGAGAUGAUCAG